AAGUGACGGGCAAUUUGUACAUAUUUUAAAAUUUAAUUCAAAAAAUUUAAUUUAAAAAAUUUACUUUUAAAUCCUAUUUAAUUAUAUUUUUUAAAAACAUAAAUCCAAAAAUAAAAAUUAAUGUAAUUCAUAUCUUCUUUUUAAUUUACAUAUUGAUCUGAAAUAAAAUAAUAAUUUUAUUUUUAAAAAAUUUAAAUUUAAUUAAAAUAUUUUUAUAACGAACAUACAUAAAAAUUUAACAAAAAGUUUAUCCUUUCGUGGAUUAUCAAAUUAAAGUACAAAUUCCUCUAAAUAAAUUAAAAUACCGCCAUAAAUUUUAAUUUUAAACAAAUUUUAUUAAUUUAAUAUUUAAUUUUAAAAUAAAAAUAAUAGGGUAUCUAAUCCUGGGUUU
RNAcentral lists this ribosomal RNA (391 nucleotides) under Encarsia inaron. RNAcentral describes it as "partial 12S ribosomal RNA". Lineage: Eukaryota; Metazoa; Arthropoda; Insecta; Hymenoptera; Aphelinidae. The record is from RNAcentral.